Molecule: ribosomal RNA, 1499 nt
Filed under: Klebsiella pneumoniae
Lineage: Bacteria; Pseudomonadati; Pseudomonadota; Gammaproteobacteria; Enterobacterales; Enterobacteriaceae
Description: bacterial SSU rRNA
Rfam family: Bacterial small subunit ribosomal RNA
Source: RNAcentral
AGAGUUUGAUCAUGGCUCAGAUUGAACGCUGGCGGCAGGCCUAACACAUGCAAGUCGAGCGGUAGCACAGAGAGCUUGCUCUCGGGUGACGAGCGGCGGACGGGUGAGUAAUGUCUGGGAAACUGCCUGAUGGAGGGGGAUAACUACUGGAAACGGUAGCUAAUACCGCAUAACGUCGCAAGACCAAAGUGGGGGACCUUCGGGCCUCAUGCCAUCAGAUGUGCCCAGAUGGGAUUAGCUAGUAGGUGGGGUAACGGCUCACCUAGGCGACGAUCCCUAGCUGGUCUGAGAGGAUGACCAGCCACACUGGAACUGAGACACGGUCCAGACUCCUACGGGAGGCAGCAGUGGGGAAUAUUGCACAAUGGGCGCAAGCCUGAUGCAGCCAUGCCGCGUGUGUGAAGAAGGCCUUCGGGUUGUAAAGCACUUUCAGCGGGGAGGAAGGCGNCGAUUGACGUUACCCGCAGAAGAAGCACCGGCUAACUCCGUGCCAGCAGCCGCGGUAAUACGGAGGGUGCAAGCGUUAAUCGGAAUUACUGGGCGUAAAGCGCACGCAGGCGGUCUGUCAAGUCGGAUGUGAAAUCCCCGGGCUCAACCUGGGAACUGCAUUCGAAACUGGCAGGCUAGAGUCUUGUAGAGGGGGGUAGAAUUCCAGGUGUAGCGGUGAAAUGCGUAGAGAUCUGGAGGAAUACCGGUGGCGAAGGCGGCCCCCUGGACAAAGACUGACGCUCAGGUGCGAAAGCGUGGGGAGCAAACAGGAUUAGAUACCCUGGUAGUCCACGCCGUAAACGAUGUCGAUUUGGAGGUUGUGCCCUUGAGGCGUGGCUUCCGGAGCUAACGCGUUAAAUCGACCGCCUGGGGAGUACGGCCGCAAGGUUAAAACUCAAAUGAAUUGACGGGGGCCCGCACAAGCGGUGGAGCAUGUGGUUUAAUUCGAUGCAACGCGAAGAACCUUACCUGGUCUUGACAUCCACAGAACUUNUUGGUGCCUUCGGGAACUGUGAGACAGGUGCUGCAUGGCUGUCGUCAGCUCGUGUUGUGAAAUGUUGGGUUAAGUCCCGCAACGAGCGCAACCCUUAUCCUUUGUUGCCAGCGGUUAGGCCGGGAACUCAAAGGAGACUGCCAGUGAUAAACUGGAGGAAGGUGGGGAUGACGUCAAGUCAUCAUGGCCCUUACGACCAGGGCUACACACGUGCUACAAUGGCAUAUACAAAGAGAAGCGACCUCGCGAGAGCAAGCGGACCUCAUAAAGUAUGUCGUAGUCCGGAUUGGAGUCUGCAACUCGACUCCAUGAAGUCGGAAUCGCUAGUAAUCGUAGAUCAGAAUGCUACGGUGAAUACGUUCCCGGGCCUUGUACACACCGCCCGUCACACCAUGGGAGUGGGUUGCAAAAGAAGUAGGUAGCUUAACCUUCGGGAGGGCGCUUACCACUUUGUGAUUCAUGACUGGGGUGAAGUCGUAACAAGGUAACCGUAGGGGAACCUGCGGUUGGAUCACCU